Molecule: ribosomal RNA, 359 nt
Filed under: Escherichia coli
Lineage: Bacteria; Pseudomonadati; Pseudomonadota; Gammaproteobacteria; Enterobacterales; Enterobacteriaceae
Description: partial 23S ribosomal RNA
Rfam family: Bacterial large subunit ribosomal RNA
Source: RNAcentral
CCAGAGCCUGAAUCAGUGUGUGUGUUAGUGGAAGCGUCUGGAAAGGCGCGCGAUACAGGGUGACAGCCCCGUACACAAAAAUGCACAUGCUGUGAGCUCGAUGAGUAGGGCGGGACACGUGGUAUCCUGUCUGAAUAUGGGGGGACCAUCCUCCAAGGCUAAAUACUCCUGACUGACCGAUAGUGAACCAGUACCGUGAGGGAAAGGCGAAAAGAACCCCGGCGAGGGGAGUGAAAAAGAACCUGAAACCGUGUACGUACAAGCAGUGGGAGCACAGAGCAAUCUGUGUGACUGCGUACCUUUUGUAUAAUGGGUCAGCGACUUAUAUUCUGUAGCAAGGUUAACCGAAUAGGGGAGCC